Molecule: long non-coding RNA, 445 nt
Organism: Thalassophryne amazonica
Lineage: Eukaryota; Metazoa; Chordata; Actinopteri; Batrachoidiformes; Batrachoididae
Exons: 3
Source: RefSeq, a predicted model, not a curated record
CUGUAGUUAUGUCGGGUGAUGGCUCCAUCCUGACAGAUGUCUCUGCUGAACUGUCAUGUUGGGGAUGUUACUUUGAGCACUUGUUUAAAGCAGAUCCUUCUGUUGGGAUGUUAGAAACCUCUAGUGCAAUGCCAUGCCAUGAUUGCAGAACAUGGAAAAGCUGAGUGAGGUGUCGGGGUGUAUUUGUAUGCAAUGACAAAGUGCUGAACUUGAAGAGACAUUCAUUUACCUCAGUAGCGACAUUAAUGUCACUGAGUCCUGAUCCUUUGAGAUCAGGAGACACCUGGGAAGAGUUUAUGGAGUCAUGAGGGCACUGUGCAGAGAUGUUUAGUGAUGCAGACAUCUUUGCAUGAGAAUAAAGGUCCAAGUGUUGAGGAUCCUGGUGCUUCCUGUCUUACUCUAUGGUUUUAAGACUUGGACACUAACCAAUGGCCUAACACAAUGA